Arachis ipaensis is the source of this 628-nucleotide non-coding RNA. Lineage: Eukaryota; Viridiplantae; Streptophyta; Magnoliopsida; Fabales; Fabaceae. The record is from RefSeq and is a predicted model, not a curated record.
AUUGUUGCUGAUUUUGAACCUAAACUUUGGCUUUUGUUGUUGCAUUUUCAUUUGAAUUUCUGGAUAUAUUAUAAUCAGUUCAUAUAUACAAAAUCCACCAAUAUCAUGGUUUUGCAGAUUGACGAAGAGCUUCUUCAGGAAGUGGUUAAUAUGGGAUUUGACAGAAAUCAAUUGGUUGAAUCUUUAUGCAACAGGAUCUAAAAUGAGAUGGGGCUGGUGAUGAUUUGUUUAAAGAGCUAUGGAGGCUGUGUGCAGGGCCAUUAAUGGAUGUUCCUUGUGUUCAAGACAGAGUUUUCUAUUUCCCUCAGGGUCACAUUGAAUUGUUGCCAGAACCUACAGAACAAGAUUUGAGGCAGAUGAAGAACCAGAAAUCUCCCAAAUACGAUUUUCCGUCGAACAAGAUAUUUAAAGAACAAGAUUUUUUUCUCUUCUAUCAGAAGGUUAAUAAUUUUUAUUGGAAGAUACUUAUGUAGGAUACAAUAUUUUGGUUUUUUAUAGUUUAUUAGUAGUAAAUCUAAGUGGUCUAAUGUAUAUUUUGAUAUGGGUAUGUUUAAUUUAGUGUGAGAUGUAUGAAUACUCAUUUAUGAUCAUCCCAAUAUUUUUAGUUCAUUAUAAAUAUAUUUUGUUA